AGAGUUUGAUUAUGGCUCAGGAUGAACGCUAGCGAUAGGCCUAACACAUGCAAGUCGAGGGGCAGCACGUGAAGUAGCAACACGGAUGGUGGCGACCGGCGCACGGGUGGGUAACGCGUAUGCAACCUGCCUACAACAGGGGAAUAACCCGUUGAAAGACGGACUAAUACCCCAUAACACAGGGGUCCCGCAUGGGAAUAUUUGUUAAAGAUUUAUCGGUUGUAGAUGGGCAUGCGUUCCAUUAGCUGGUUGGUGAGGUAACGGCUCACCAAGGCAACGAUGGAUAGGGGAACUGAGAGGUUUAUCCCCCACACUGGUACUGAGGCACGGACCAGACUCCUACGGGAGGCAGCAGUGAGGAAUAUUGGUCAAUGGACGCAAGUCUGAACCAGCCACGUCGCGUGAAGGAAGACGGCCCUACGGGUUGUAAACUUCUUUUGUAAGGGAAUAAAGUGCAGUACGUGUACUGUUUUGCAUGUACCUUACGAAUAAGGAUCGGCUAACUCCGUGUCAGCAGCCGCGGUAAUACGGAGGAUCCGAGCGUUAUCCGGAUUUAUUGGGUUUAAAGGGUGCGCAGGCGGGAGAUUAAGUCGGCGGUGAAAUUUUGCAGCUCAACUGUAAAAGUGCCUUCGAAACUGGUUUUCUUGAGUGUGGAUGAAGUAGGCGGAAUUUGUGGUGUAGCGGUGAAAUGCAUAGAUAUCACGAGGAACUCCGAUUGCGCAGGCAGCUUACUAAACCAUAACUGACGCUCACGCACGAAUGUGUGGGGAUCAAACAGGAUUAGAUACCCUGGUAGUC
Molecule: ribosomal RNA, 798 nt
Filed under: uncultured Porphyromonadaceae bacterium
Lineage: Bacteria; Pseudomonadati; Bacteroidota; Bacteroidia; Bacteroidales; Porphyromonadaceae
Description: bacterial SSU rRNA
Rfam family: Bacterial small subunit ribosomal RNA
Source: RNAcentral